RNAcentral lists this ribosomal RNA (446 nucleotides) under uncultured bacterium. RNAcentral describes it as "bacterial SSU rRNA". It matches the Rfam family "Bacterial small subunit ribosomal RNA", at positions 331 to 793 of the family's 1533-position model. The record is from RNAcentral.
CCAGACUCCUACGGGAGGCAGCAGUGGGGAAUAUUGGGCAAUGGGCGCAAGCCUGGCCCAGCAACGCCGCGUGAAGGAAGAAGGCUUUCGGGUUGUAAACUUCUUUUAAGGGGGAAGAGGAGAAGACGGUACCCCUUGAAUAAGCCACGGCUAACUACGUGCCAGCAGCCGCGGUAAUACGGAGGAUGCGAGCGUUAUCCGGAUUUAUUGGGUUUAAAGGGUGCGUAGGCGGACUGUUAAGUUAGCGGUAAAAGCCGGGGGCUCAACCCCGGCGAGCCGUUGAAACUGGCUGUCUUGAGAUGUCGAGAGGUAUGCGGAAUGCGCAGUGUAGCGGUGAAAUGCUUAGAUAUUGCGCAGAACUCCGAUUGCGAAGGCAGCAUACCGGCGGCGAUCUGACGCUGAGGCACGAAAGCGUGGGUAUCGAACAGGAUUAGAUACCCUGGUAA